Molecule: ribosomal RNA, 518 nt
Filed under: uncultured bacterium
Lineage: Bacteria
Description: bacterial SSU rRNA
Rfam family: Bacterial small subunit ribosomal RNA
Source: RNAcentral
AACGAACGCUGGCGGCGUGGAUAAGACAUGCAAGUCGAACGGGAUUUUAUUUGUAGCAAUACACGUAAAGUCUAGUGGCGUAAGGGUGCGUAACACGUGGGGAAUCUGCCGAGAAGUGGGGGAUAGCUCGCCGAAAGGCGAAUUAAUACCGCAUGUGGUUAGGGAAGACAUCUUUCCGACACCAAAGCCGGGGCAACCUGGCGCUUCUUGAUGACCCCCCGGCCUAUCAGCUAGUUGGUGAGGUAACGGCUCACCAAGGCUAUGACGGGUAGCUGGGCUGAGAGGACGACCAGCCACACUGGAACUGAGACACGGUCCAGACACCUACGGGUGGCAGCAGUCGAGAAUUUUUCUCAAUGGGGGAAACCCUGAAGGAGCGACGCCGCGUGGAGGAUGAAGGUCUUCGGAUUGUAAACUCCUGUCAUUUGGGAACAAUGUGCAUCUAUUAACUGUAGAUGCAUUGAUAGUACCAGAAGAGGAAGAGACGGCUAACUCUGUGCCAGCAGCCGCGGUAAUAC